GUCCCAUCUGUUGAUGCUCAUUCAAGUCACCCCUCACCUGGGCCAGCCACAAUGCACAAGCCAAGAAUGAGAUGGACGCCUGAGCUUCAUGAAUGUUUUGUAGAGGCCGUCAACAAACUUGGUGGAGCUGAAAAGGCCACUCCAAAGGGGGUUCUAAAGCUGAUGAAUGUUGAAGGUUUGACCAUCUAUCAUGUGAAAAGCCAUUUACAGAAAUAUCGAAUUGCCAAGUAUUUGCCAGAGAAAAAAGAAGAGAAGAAGGC
Molecule: unclassified non-coding RNA, 260 nt
Filed under: Hevea brasiliensis (rubber tree)
Lineage: Eukaryota; Viridiplantae; Streptophyta; Magnoliopsida; Malpighiales; Euphorbiaceae
Source: RNAcentral